RNAcentral lists this ribosomal RNA (436 nucleotides) under uncultured Ceratobasidiaceae. RNAcentral describes it as "eukaryotic LSU rRNA". The stretch from base 1 to 105 matches the Rfam family "5.8S ribosomal RNA", at positions 50 to 154 of the family's 154-position model. The record is from RNAcentral. Lineage: Eukaryota; Fungi; Basidiomycota; Agaricomycetes; Cantharellales; Ceratobasidiaceae.
GAAAUGCGAUAAGUAAUGUGAAUUGCAGAAUUCAGUGAAUCAUCGAAUCUUUGAACGCACCUUGCGCUCCUCGGUAUUCCUUGGAGCAUGCCUGUUUGAGUAUCGUGAAAUCUUCAAAGUAAAUCUUUUGUUCACUCAAUUGGUUCUACUUUGGUAUUGGAGGUUUAUUGCAGCUUCACACCUGCUCCUCUUUGUGCAUUAGCUGGAUUCUCAGUGUUAUGCUUGGUUCCACUUGGCGUGAUAAGUUAAUUUAAUCGCUGAGGACACUCUCUCUCUAUAACCAAAAGGGGGGGGGGAGUGGCCAAGGUAAAUACAGAUGAACCCGCUUCUAAUAGUCCAUUGACUUGGACAAAAACUAUUUAUUAUGAUCUGAUCUCAAAUCAGGUAGGACUACCCGCUGAACUUAAGCAUAUCAAUAAGCGGAGGAAAAGAAACU